Bactrocera neohumeralis is the source of this 2501-nucleotide RNA transcript. It is a transcript of the gene named glycerol-3-phosphate phosphatase-like, with no coding region annotated. The record is from RefSeq and is a predicted model, not a curated record. The transcript has 5 exons. NCBI's taxonomy places the organism in Eukaryota, Metazoa, Arthropoda, Insecta, Diptera, Tephritidae.
AUUUUUGAUCGCAUAUUAAUGGGUAUGUGUUUAAAAGUAAAAUCAAUUGCAAUUUUCAUUUGAAUAAACUUUUUAUUUUAUUGUGAUAACGAUUGAAAAAUUGCACAUGCAUGGAUAAUUUGGAAAGCAAGCGACUGGUAAUUUGUAAAUUUAAGAGCAUGAAAACCACCAUUGUGUCAAGAGCGCUGCACAGCAGCACUAUUGGGCCAAAAUUUUACAUACAUACAUAUGAAAAACGAUAUACAUACAUAUAUAAAUAUUUACAAAACAUUUUAAUUAAAAUUACCUUUAGUUUAUUUUAAUUUAGUUUAGUAUAAAAUGACGUUUUUCUUUUUAGGGAGUUUAAUACAAAAUAAUACUUUAGCAAUUAAUAAGAAGUACUAAGAAAAUAAAAAAAAUAAAAAUGUAUGAAAGUAACUUUAGUGACGAAAAAUUAAAAUAAAAGUAAACAAAUGAAGUUACAAAAAGCGCAAUUUCAAUAUUAAAAAAAUAGAAAUUAUUUUACAUGAAAAAAUUGAAAAAAAUUUUAUAAUUUUUAAAACAAUAUUUAUAAUUUUCAAAACAACAUUAUUGAUGUUGGUUUUAUUAUUAUGAGUUUUCUAUACCGUUUCGCUGAUCUUAUUGGCCGUCUAAAAAUCUGUCAAAAUUUGCAUUCAGAUACGAGCAAACCUUUCUCAAGGCAAACUGAAAACGCAGCUAAGAAAAUAGCCAGAAAACAAUGCACAAAUUUAUUGCUUCAACCAGCAACGGAGGUGAGGUCUUGGUUAAAUUCAUUCAAUACGAUCAUAGCAGACGGCGAAGGUGUUCUCUGGAUCUACGACAAACCAAUACCGGGUGCAAUUGAUGCUCUAAACCAAUUGAAAGCAAGCGGAAAGCAAAUCUAUGUUUGUACAAACAAUUCCACACAAACGCGUCAACAACAUACUUUUAAAGCAGAACGUUUGGGUCUCAAUAUACGUGAAAAUGAGGUGCUUUGUACGGCGCAUGCAACAGCGCAAUAUUUAAAAGAUUUGCAAUUUCUUAAAUAUGCUUAUGUUAUUGGCGCUGAAGCGCUCACCACAGAAUUGGAUGCGGCUGGUAUAGUUUUACAUAAUGACAGCGGGCCAGACAUAAUGCAUGAAACUGUUGCAAAGUUUGCUACCGAAUUCCGAAAGGAAGCGAAUGUGGGUGCAGUCAUUGUUGGUUAUGACACGCAUUUCAGCUUUUGUAAGUUGGCUAAAGCUGCGACUUAUUUGAAAAAUCCGGAUUGCUUAUUUCUUGCCACCAAUGUGGAUGCAAGUUCAUAUACAGGUGAUAUGAUGUUACCGGGCACAGGUAGUUUUGUUGCGGCUAUUGAGUAUUGCACCGGUCGAAAGGCGUUCGUUAUUGGGAAACCUAGUGCAAAUAUGUGCAUGCAAUACAUUCAAAACGGCCUGAUACAACCUGCAAAUACUCUAAUGAUAGGCGAUAAUUACCAAACGGAUAUGCCAUUUGGACACAAUCUUGGCUUUCAAACACUGCUCGUUGGUACGGGCACACAUACGUGGAGUGAUGUGCUGCACUUGAAGAAGUUGAACGGUAAUUUGGCAAAGCAUUUUAUGCCAGAUGCAUAUAUACCGAAAUUGGCCGAUUUGAAUUACUUCCUGCGCCGCUAAAGUGGUAACUGCAAAGUAUCAUAAAUAAUCGCAAAAUAUCCGCUUUCAUCGAUUAACGAUUACAUUUAUUUAUAGCCAAUUUGCCAAAUAAUUUGUUUAGAGAAAAGUGAUGGGAAGCAAAAACUUAUAAAUCACAAGAAGCGCAAUGUCAUUAAAUACCAGAGAAGAGAGCACUGUUAAAUUUUAGCGGAGUAUACGUCACUGUGAGCAAUUCAACAAUCUACAAAUUUAAAACAAAACUAUAUGUAUUUUUUUGUAAGAAAAUAUAAAAAUAGUGAAAUUAACUUGUGUAAUAAAAAGUUUCCCUUUCACUUUACUACAAAUCAAAACGUAAUUAAAUUUCCCGAAAAAAAUUAAUAAAAUGCGAGAAUUUCCACUCGUUCGCUUCUGUUUCAUUUAUAUACCAGUGCAGAGAAUGAAUAAAUCAGCUGUUACACACACACACCAAAUACAGUUGGAAAACGAUGUUAAAAUGAAAUUUGAUGAAUGGAGCAAAGGCAAGUGGAAAAGCUGAAAACGCAAACGUCAAUGUCAAACAGAUACGCGGACUAUUGAAGAAAACGUUUCCUUAUCACUACCCGAGGGAGGUGCGCUGAACUCUUGGAUGACUAAAGCAAAAAAUAUUUUGCCUCCCAAUAGAAACUGUUUGCGGCAGAUUUAGUGGUGGAAGCGAAAGUGGCGACAGUAGUAGCGGUAAUAUUGGCAGUCAAUAGAACAGUCAACGCAGUGGAUUCUACGCCUGUGGUUGUGUGCAUUUAAUACAGCGGACACGCAAAGGAUUAAUAAUUGUACGUCAGUUUAGCGACGCUUAUAUACUAGCAAUACGGGUAACAGAGGCUAUAGCGUACUUAGUAAACACUAUACAAA